UGCCCCCUCGUUCAAUGGCAGGACAGCAGAUUCUGGAUCUGCUUAUCGGGGUUCGAGUCCCUGGGGGGCAGCCA
Molecule: transfer RNA, 74 nt
Filed under: Acidobacteriota bacterium
Lineage: Bacteria; Pseudomonadati; Acidobacteriota
Also listed under: 2 other names
Description: Acidobacteria bacterium tRNA-Gln
Rfam family: tRNA
About the family: Transfer RNA (tRNA) molecules are approximately 80 nucleotides in length. Their secondary structure includes four short double-helical elements and three loops (D, anti-codon, and T loops). Further hydrogen bonds mediate the characteristic L-shaped molecular structure. tRNAs have two regions of fundamental functional importance: the anti-codon, which is responsible for specific mRNA codon recognition, and the 3' end, to which the tRNAs corresponding amino acid is attached (by aminoacyl-tRNA synthetases). tRNAs cope with the degeneracy of the genetic code in two manners: having more than one tRNA (with a specific anti-codon) for a particular amino acid; and 'wobble' base-pairing, i.e. permitting non-standard base-pairing at the 3rd anti-codon position.
Source: RNAcentral